RNAcentral lists this microRNA precursor (76 nucleotides) under Schistosoma margrebowiei. RNAcentral's name for it is "mir-3492 microRNA precursor family". It matches the Rfam family "mir-3492 microRNA precursor family". The record is from Rfam by way of RNAcentral. Lineage: Eukaryota; Metazoa; Platyhelminthes; Trematoda; Strigeidida; Schistosomatidae.
AGCCUUCUGUAUUCCUGCUGAGAUUUUGUCACGCCAGAUCACAAUGGCUGAUGAGACUCCCAAGAUAAGUGGAGCG